RNAcentral lists this ribosomal RNA (418 nucleotides) under Cetreliopsis asahinae. RNAcentral describes it as "eukaryotic LSU rRNA". It matches the Rfam family "Eukaryotic large subunit ribosomal RNA", at positions 1 to 413 of the family's 3401-position model. Lineage: Eukaryota; Fungi; Ascomycota; Lecanoromycetes; Lecanorales; Parmeliaceae. The record is from RNAcentral.
CAUUGACCUCGGAUCAGGUAGGGAUACCCGCUGAACUUAAGCAUAUCAAUAAGCGGAGGAAAAGAAACCAACAGGGAUUGCCUCAGUAACGGCGAGUGAAGCGGCAUCAGCUCAAAUUUGAAAUCUGGCCCUUUCGGGGUCCGAGUUGUAAUUUGUAGAGAGUGCUUCGGGUGAGACCGCGGUCUAAGUCCAUUGGAACAUGGCGUCAUAGAGGGUGAGAAUCCCGUAUGUGACUGUGGUUCGAACCCGUGUGAAGCCUCUUCGACGAGUCGAGUUGUUUGGGAAUGCAGCUCAAAAUGGGUGGUAAAUUUCAUCUAAAGCUAAAUACUGGCUGGAGACCGAUAGCGCACAAGUAGAGUGAUCGAAAGAUGAAAAGCACUUUGGAAAGAGAGUCAAACAGUACGUGAAAUUGUUGAAA